GUGGAGCAACAUCACAUUAUCUCUUUAGCGAAGUAUACAAAAUUCAAUCCUCCAUGACAUGUUUUGACCCAGAACAUCAGAGAGACUGUAGAAUUCUAGUUUUCCCUUAAAAAUAUUAAUCCGGAUCUCAGAAGAAGUGAAAAAUCAUCAAUUUUAUUGUAAAAAAAUUACAAUGUCAUAAAAAAAAGUUCUUUUCGUUAUUCACGGAAAUUACCUUAAAUUAUCUUCUGUCAGUUAGCUGUCUUCUAACAAAAUAAAUUUUGCAUAUAAAAACGUUUUUUAUGCGUUUAAAAUAUAUUUUAAGGGCCACUGGUAUAAUUUUGUUUCAAUGUCUUCAAGACACCAACAUUUUUUUUUCAAGACGUCUUGGAUGAGAGGAUACAAUUUUUGAAGUUUCAAAAAUUUCUCCAAGAUACAUGUCUUAAGACAUAUAUU
RNAcentral lists this long non-coding RNA (435 nucleotides) under Mytilus galloprovincialis (Mediterranean mussel). The record is from RNAcentral. Lineage: Eukaryota; Metazoa; Mollusca; Bivalvia; Mytilida; Mytilidae.